RNAcentral lists this long non-coding RNA (361 nucleotides) under Pan troglodytes (chimpanzee). RNAcentral describes it as "long non-coding RNA NONPTRT001306". Lineage: Eukaryota; Metazoa; Chordata; Mammalia; Primates; Hominidae. The record is from RNAcentral.
GGAGCCUGGCAACAAGAGCAAAACUCCAUCUCAAAAAAAAAAAGAAAGAAAAGAAAGCUGGAGCUGGUGGCUUAGGCCAUCACCCUUCCCUUGGCUGGAACUACUGGACAGACCCUUUUGAGAUGUGCCUGUGGUGCUGUGGAGAUGUGUGUAGUGGUCUUAGCUCUUUGUUGAGCUUGUGUGUGUGUUGUGUAGUCUUAGCUGUAUGCUGAAAUUGGACGUGUGUUGGAGGGCUUCUUAGCUCUUUGGUGAGAUUGUAUUUCUAUGUGUUUGUAUCAGCUGAAUGUUGCUGGAAAUAAAACCUUGGUUUGUCAAGGCUCUUUUUUGUGGGAAGUAAGUAGGGGAAAAGUUCUUUGAGGGU